CGAAAGUUUGGCUAAUACCGCGUAAGCUCCAAGGAGGAAAGUAGGGGACCUAAAUAAGGCCUUACGCAUUUGAUCGGCCGAUGUCGGAUUAGCUAGUUGUGGGGUAAUGGCUCACCAAGGCAAUGAUCCGUAGCGGGUCUGAGAGGACGAUCCGCCACACUGGGACUGAGACACGGCCCAG
This 181-nucleotide ribosomal RNA is filed under the name uncultured Neisseriales bacterium. Its description in RNAcentral is "partial 16S ribosomal RNA". It matches the Rfam family "Bacterial small subunit ribosomal RNA", at positions 152 to 334 of the family's 1533-position model. The record is from RNAcentral. Lineage: Bacteria; Pseudomonadati; Pseudomonadota; Betaproteobacteria; Neisseriales.